This 468-nucleotide ribosomal RNA is filed under the name uncultured bacterium. RNAcentral's name for it is "partial 16S ribosomal RNA". It matches the Rfam family "Bacterial small subunit ribosomal RNA", at positions 28 to 507 of the family's 1533-position model. The record is from RNAcentral.
GACGAACGCUGGCGGCGUGCUUAACACAUGCAAGUCGAACGGAAAGGCCCUGCUUUUGUGGGGUGCUCGAGUGGCGAACGGGUGAGUAACACGUGAGUAACCUGCCCUUGACUUUGGGAUAACUUCAGGAAACUGGGGCUAAUACCGGAUAGGAGCUCCUGCUGCAGGGUGGGGGGUGGAAAGUUUCGGCGGUUGGGGAUGGACUCGCGGCUUAUCAGCUUGUUGGUGGGGUAGUGGCUGACCAAGGCUUUGGCGGGUAGCCGGCCGGAGAGGGUGACCGGCCACCUUGCGCCUGAGGUACGGCCCAGACUCCUACGGGAGGCAGUAGUGGGGAAUCUUGCCCAAUGGGCGCAAGCCUGAUGCAGAAACGCCGCGUGCGGGAUGACGGCCUUCGGGUUGUAAACCGCUUUCGCCUGUGACGCAGCGUGAGUGACGGUAAUGGGUAAAGAAGCACCGGCUAACUACGUG